This 352-nucleotide ribosomal RNA is filed under the name Blommersia blommersae (Ambrana Madagascar frog). RNAcentral describes it as "partial 16S ribosomal RNA". It matches the Rfam family "Bacterial large subunit ribosomal RNA", at positions 2017 to 2534 of the family's 2925-position model. Lineage: Eukaryota; Metazoa; Chordata; Amphibia; Anura; Mantellidae. The record is from RNAcentral.
UGUCUCCUUUCUCCAAUCAGUGAAACUGAUCUUCCCGUGAAGAAGCGGAAAUUAAUUUAUAAGACGAGAAGACCCCAUGGAGCUUUAAACCCAAUUACAUCCUUAUAUUUAAAAUCUUCAUAGCUUUUAAGGUAUUGUAUAUUCGGUUUUAGGUUGGGGUGACCGCGGAGCAUAAAUAAGCCUCCACGAUGAAUGGAAUUAUUUUCCUUAUCUAAGAACUACAUUUCUAAGAAUUAAUAUUUUAACAUAUAAUGAUCCAAUAUUUGAUCAACGAACCAAGUUACCCUGGGGAUAACAGCGCAAUCCACUUCAAGAGCCCCUAUCGACAAGUGGGUUUACGACCUCGAUGUUG